This 1404-nucleotide ribosomal RNA is filed under the name metagenome. Its description in RNAcentral is "SSU rRNA". It matches the Rfam family "Eukaryotic small subunit ribosomal RNA", at positions 5 to 1427 of the family's 1831-position model. The record is from RNAcentral.
UGGUUGAUCCUGCCAGUAGUCAUAUGCUUGUCUCAAAGAUUAAGCCAUGCAUGUCUAAGUACACACUUUGGUAAAGUGAAACCGCGAAUGGCUCAUUAAAUCAGCUACAAUUUAUUAGAUCGUACACUGUUACUUGGAUAACUGUGGGAAUUCUAGAGCUAAUACAUGCCGAGAGUCUCUGCUCUUCGGGGCAGAGCGCAGUUAUUAGACCAAAACCAGCCGUAUUCUUCGGGGUACGCUCUUUUGGUGACUCUGGAUAACCUUCAGCCGAUCGCAUGGCCUCGUGCCGGCGACGUAUCUUUCAAGUGUCUGCCCUAUCAACUUUCGAUGGUACGUGAUAUGCCUACCAUGGUGAUAACGGGUAACGGGGAAUCAGGGUUCGAUUCCGGAGAGGGAGCCUGAGAAAUGGCUACCACAUCCAAGGAUGGCAGCAGGCGCGCAAAUUACCCACUCCCAGCUUGGGGAGGUAGUGACGAAAAAUAACAAUGCGGGACUCUAAGAGGCCCCGUAAUUGGAAUGAGUACACCUUAAAUCGUUUAACGAGUAUCAAUUGGAGGGCAAGUCUGGUGCCAGCAGCCGCGGUAAUUCCAGCUCCAAUAGCGUAUAUUAAAGUUGCUGCAGUUAAAAAGCUCGUAGUUGGAUCUGGGGCUUGAGGUCGCUGUCUAUCGUUUCGGCGAUGACGGUGAUGCUCAGCUCUGCUUGCCGGUGACUGUUGCGGUGUUCUUCACUGAGCGCUGUAGCAGCACGGCACGUUUACUUUGAAAAAAUUAGAGUGCUCAAAGCGUGCUUGUCGCUUGAAUAAUGUUGCAUGGAAUAAUGGAAUAGGACCUCGGUUCUAUUUUGUUGGUUUUCGGAGCUUGAGGUAAUGAUUAAGAGGGACGAACGGGGGCAUUCGUAUUGCGGUGUUAGAGGUGAAAUUCUUGGAUCGCCGCAAGACGGACUACUGCGAAAGCAUUUGCCAAGAACGCUUUCAUUAAUUAAGAACGAAAGUCAGAGGUUCGAAGACGAUCAGACACCGUCCUAGUUCUGACCAUAAACGAUGCCGACCAGCGAUCCGUAGUGGUUGCUUUAUGGACCCUACGGGCAGCCUCCGGGAAACCAAAGUAUUUGGGUUCCGGGGGAAGUAUGGUUGCAAAGCUGAAACUUAAAGGAAUUGACGGAAGGGCACACCAGGAGUGGAGCCUGCGGCUUAAUUUGACCCAACACGGGAAAACUCACCCGGUCCGGACACCGUAAGGAUUGACAGACUGAUAGCUCUUUCUUGAUUCGGUGGAUGGUGGUGCAUGGCCGUUCUUAGUUGGUGGAGUGAUUUGUCUGGUUAAUUCCGAUAACGAACGAGACUCUAGCCUGCUAAGUAGUGUUGCUAUUGUUAUAUGGUUGACACUUCUUAGAGGGACAAGUGCC